Molecule: ribosomal RNA, 403 nt
Filed under: uncultured bacterium
Lineage: Bacteria
Description: partial 16S ribosomal RNA
Rfam family: Bacterial small subunit ribosomal RNA
Source: RNAcentral
GACGAACGCUGGCGGCGUGCCUAAUACAUGCAAGUCGAACGCAGUGGGGACGGGUGAGUAACACGUGGGUAACCUCCCAUCAGAGGGGAUAACACUUGGAAACAGGUGCUAAACCGAUACUGAUGGAUGGACCCGCGGUGCAUUAGCUAGUUGGAGAGGUACCGGCUCACCAAGGCCACGAUGCAUAGCCGACCGUAGAUGGUGCUCUGCCACACUGGGACUGAGACACGGCCCAGACUCCGACGGGAGGCAGCGUUAGUGAAGCUUCGGCAAUGGACGAAAGUCUGACCGGGCAACCCCGCGUGAGUGAAGAAGGUUUUCGGAUCGUAAAACUCUGUUGUUAGAGAAGCGGUAUCUAACCAGAAAGCCACGGCUAACUACGUGCCAGCAGCCGCGGUAAUUC